AUUGAACGCUGGCGGCAGGCCUAACACAUGCAAGUCGAGCGGAUGAAGGGAGCUUGCUCCUGGAUUCAGCGGCGGACGGGUGAGUAAUGCCUAGGAAUCUGCCUGGUAGUGGGGGAUAACGUCCGGAAACGGGCGCUAAUACCGCAUACGUCCUGAGGGAGAAAGUGGGGGAUCUUCGGACCUCACGCUAUCAGAUGAGCCUAGGUCGGAUUAGCUAGUUGGUGGGGUAAAGGCCUACCAAGGCGACGAUCCGUAGCUGGCCUGAGAGGAUGAUCAGUCACACUGGAACUGAGACACGGUCCAGACUCCUACGGGAGGCAGCAGUGGGGAAUAUUGGACAAUGGGCGAAAGCCUGAUCCAGCCAUGCCGCGUGUGUGAAGAAGGUCUUCGGAUUGUAAAGCACUGUUAGUUGGGAGGAAGGGCAGUAAGUUAAUCCCUUGCUGUUUUGACGUUACCAACAGAAUAAGCACCGGCUAACUUCGUG
Molecule: ribosomal RNA, 484 nt
Filed under: uncultured bacterium
Lineage: Bacteria
Description: partial 16S ribosomal RNA
Rfam family: Bacterial small subunit ribosomal RNA
Source: RNAcentral